This 2656-nucleotide ribosomal RNA is filed under the name Salmonella enterica subsp. enterica serovar Paratyphi A. RNAcentral's name for it is "23S ribosomal RNA". The record is from RNAcentral. Lineage: Bacteria; Pseudomonadati; Pseudomonadota; Gammaproteobacteria; Enterobacterales; Enterobacteriaceae.
AAUCAGUGCUGAAAAUCGUCUCUCAUCCGCCAAAACAUCUUCGGCGUUGUAAGGUUAAGCCUCACGGUUCAUUAGUACCGGUUAGCUCAACGCAUCGCUGCGCUUACACACCCGGCCUAUCAACGUCGUCGUCUUCAACGUUCCUUCAGGAGACCUAAAGUCUCAGGGAGAACUCAUCUCGGGGCAAGUUUCGUGCUUAGAUGCUUUCAGCACUUAUCUCUUCCGCAUUUAGCUACCGGGCAGUGCCAUUGGCAUGACAACCCGAACACCAGUGAUGCGUCCACUCCGGUCCUCUCGUACUAGGAGCAGCCCCCCUCAGUUCUCCAGCGCCCACGGCAGAUAGGGACCGAACUGUCUCACGACGUUCUAAACCCAGCUCGCGUACCACUUUAAAUGGCGAACAGCCAUACCCUUGGGACCUACUUCAGCCCCAGGAUGUGAUGAGCCGACAUCGAGGUGCCAAACACCGCCGUCGAUAUGAACUCUUGGGCGGUAUCAGCCUGUUAUCCCCGGAGUACCUUUUAUCCGUUGAGCGAUGGCCCUUCCAUUCAGAACCACCGGAUCACUAUGACCUGCUUUCGCACCUGCUCGCGCCGUCACGCUCGCAGUCAAGCUGGCUUAUGCCAUUGCACUAACCUCCUGAUGUCCGACCAGGAUUAGCCAACCUUCGUGCUCCUCCGUUACUCUUUAGGAGGAGACCGCCCCAGUCAAACUACCCACCAGACACUGUCCGCAACCCGGGUAACGGGUCCACGUUAGAACAUCAAACAUUAAAGGGUGGUAUUUCAAGGUCGGCUCCAUGCAGACUGGCGUCCACACUUCAAAGCCUCCCACCUAUCCUACACAUCAAGGCUCAAUGUUCAGUGUCAAGCUAUAGUAAAGGUUCACGGGGUCUUUCCGUCUUGCCGCGGGUACACUGCAUCUUCACAGCGAGUUCAAUUUCACUGAGUCUCGGGUGGAGACAGCCUGGCCAUCAUUACGCCAUUCGUGCAGGUCGGAACUUACCCGACAAGGAAUUUCGCUACCUUAGGACCGUUAUAGUUACGGCCGCCGUUUACCGGGGCUUCGAUCAGGAGCUUCGCUUGCGCUGACCCCAUCAAUUAACCUUCCGGCACCGGGCAGGCGUCACACCGUAUACGUCCACUUUCGUGUUUGCACAGUGCUGUGUUUUUAAUAAACAGUUGCAGCCAGCUGGUAUCUUCGACUGACUUCAGCUCCAUGAGUAAAUCACUUCACCUACGUGUCAGCGUGCCUUCUCCCGAAGUUACGGCACCAUUUUGCCUAGUUCCUUCACCCGAGUUCUCUCAAGCGCCUUGGUAUUCUCUACCUGACCACCUGUGUCGGUUUGGGGUACGAUUUGAUGUUACCUGAUGCUUAGAGGCUUUUCCUGGAAGCAGGGCAUUUGUUGCUUCAGCACCGUAGUGCCUCGUCGUCACGCCUCAGUGUUAAAGUGAACCGGAUUUACCUGGAACACACACCUACACGCUUAAACCGGGACAACCGUCGCCCGGCCAACAUAGCCUUCUCCGUCCCCCCNNNNNNNNNNNNNNNNNNNNCCCCCCUUCGCAGUAACACCAAGUACGGGAAUAUUAACCCGUUUCCCAUCGACUACGCCUUUCGGCCUCGCCUUAGGGGUCGACUCACCCUGCCCCGAUUAACGUUGGACAGGAACCCUUGGUCUUCCGGCGAGCGGGCUUUUCACCCGCUUUAUCGUUACUUAUGUCAGCAUUCGCACUUCUGAUACCUCCAGCAACCCUCACAGGCCACCUUCACAGGCUUACAGAACGCUCCCCUACCCAACAACACCUGAGUGUCGCUGCCGCAGCUUCGGUGCAUGGUUUAGCCCCGUUACAUCUUCCGCGCAGGCCGACUCGACCAGUGAGCUAUUACGCUUUCUUUAAAUGAUGGCUGCUUCUAAGCCAACAUCCUGGCUGUCUGGGCCUUCCCACAUCGUUUCCCACUUAACCAUGACUUUGGGACCUUAGCUGGCGGUCUGGGUUGUUUCCCUCUUCACGACGGACGUUAGCACCCGCCGUGUGUCUCCCGUGAUAACAUUCUCCGGUAUUCGCAGUUUGCAUCGGGUUGGUAAGCCGGGAUGGCCCCCUAGCCGAAACAGUGCUCUACCCCCGGAGAUGAAUUCACGAGGCGCUACCUAAAUAGCUUUCGGGGAGAACCAGCUAUCUCCCGGUUUGAUUGGCCUUUCACCCCCAGCCACAGGUCAUCCGCUAAUUUUUCAACAUUAGUCGGUUCGGUCCUCCAGUUAGUGUUACCCAACCUUCAACCUGCCCAUGGCUAGAUCACCGGGUUUCGGGUCUAUACCCUGCAACUUAACGCCCGGUUAAGACUCGGUUUCCCUCCGGCUCCCCUAUACGGUUAACCUUGCUACAGAAUAUAAGUCGCUGACCCAUUAUACAAAAGGUACGCAGUCACACAGGUAAACCUGUGCUCCCACUGCUUGUACGUACACGGUUUCAGGUUCUUUUUCACUCCCCUCGCCGGGGUUCUUUUCGCCUUUCCCUCACGGUACUGGUUCACUAUCGGUCAGUCAGGAGUAUUUAGCCUUGGAGGAUGGUCCCCCCAUAUUCAGACAGGAUACCACGUGUCCCGCCCUACUCAUCGAGCUCACAGCACAUGCGCUUUUGUGUACGGGGCUGUC